Molecule: ribosomal RNA, 253 nt
Filed under: uncultured bacterium
Lineage: Bacteria
Description: partial 16S ribosomal RNA
Rfam family: Bacterial small subunit ribosomal RNA
Source: RNAcentral
GACAGAGGUGCCAAGCGUUAGGCGGAAUCACUGGGCUUAAAGCGUGUGUAGGCGGGUCGUUAAGUACCUUGUGAAAUCCCACGGCUCAACCGUGGAACUGCUCGGUAUACUGGCGAUCUUGAGCCACUUAGGGGCUACCGGAACAAAUGGUGGAGCGGUGAAAUGCGUAGAUAUCGAGAGGAACACCUGCGGCGAAGGCGGGUUGCUGGGCUGACACUGACGCUGAAGUGCGAAAGCUAGGGGAGCGAACGGG